CCUACGGGAGGCAGCAGUGAGGAAUAUUGGUCAAUGGACGGAAGUCUGAACCAGCCAAGUAGCGUGCAGGAUGACGGCCCUAUGGGUUGUAAACUGCUUUUGUAUGGGGAUAAAGUUAGGGACGUGUCCCUAUUUGCAGGUACCAUACGAAUAAGGACCGGCUAAUUCCGUGCCAGCAGCCGCGGUAAUACGGAAGGUCCAGGCGUUAUCCGGAUUUAUUGGGUUUAAAGGGAGCGUAGGCUGGAGAUUAAGUGUGUUGUGAAAUGUAGACGCUCAACGUCUGAAUUGCAGCGCAUACUGGUUUCCUUGAGUACGCACAACGUUGGCGGAAUUCGUCGUGUAGCGGUGAAAUGCUUAGAUAUGACGAAGAACUCCGAUUGCGAAGGCAGCUGACGGGAGCGCAACUGACGCUUAAGCUCGAAGGUGCGGGUAUCGAACAGGAUUAGAUACCCGGGUAGUC
Molecule: ribosomal RNA, 460 nt
Filed under: uncultured Prevotella sp.
Lineage: Bacteria; Pseudomonadati; Bacteroidota; Bacteroidia; Bacteroidales; Prevotellaceae
Description: bacterial SSU rRNA
Rfam family: Bacterial small subunit ribosomal RNA
Source: RNAcentral